UAGGGAAUCUUCGGCAAUGGACGAAAGUCUGACCGAGCAACGCCGCGUGAGUGAAGAAGGUUUUCUGAUCGUAAAACUCUGUUGUUAGAGAAGAACAAGGACGUUAGUAACUGAACGUCCCCUGACGGUAUCUAACCAGAAAGCCACGGCUAACUACGUGCCAGCAGCCGCGGUAAUACGUAGGUGGCAAGCGUUGUCCGGAUUUAUUGGGCGUAAAGCGAGCGCAGGCGGUUUCUUAAGUCUGAUGUGAAAGCCCCCGGCUCAACCGGGGAGGGUCAUUGGAAACUGGGAGACUUGAGUGCAGAAGAGGAGAGUGGAAUUCCAUGUGUAGCGGUGAAAUGCGUAGAUAUAUAGGGGAACACCAGUGGCGAAGGCGGCUCUCUGGUCUGUAACUGACGCUGAGGCUCGAAAGCGUGGGGAGCAAACAGG
Molecule: ribosomal RNA, 429 nt
Filed under: Gemmatimonadota bacterium
Lineage: Bacteria; Pseudomonadati; Gemmatimonadota
Description: Gemmatimonadetes bacterium partial 16S ribosomal RNA
Rfam family: Bacterial small subunit ribosomal RNA
Source: RNAcentral